This 253-nucleotide ribosomal RNA is filed under the name uncultured prokaryote. RNAcentral's name for it is "partial 16S ribosomal RNA". It matches the Rfam family "Bacterial small subunit ribosomal RNA", at positions 524 to 776 of the family's 1533-position model. The record is from RNAcentral.
UACGGAGGGUGCAAGCGUUAAUCGGAAUUACUGGGCGUAAAGCGCACGCAGGUGGCUGAGUCAGUCGAUUGUGAAAGCCCUGGGCUUAACCUGGGAAUUGCAGUCGAUACUACUCAGCUAGAGUAUGGGAGAGGGUAGUGGAAUUCCCGGUGUAGCGGUGAAAUGCGUAGAUAUUGGGAGGAACACCAGUGGCGAAGGCGGCUCACUGGACUGGUACUGACGCUGGUGCGCGAAAGCGUGGGGAGCAAACAGG